GAUUCGUCACACUAUCAUUAACUGAAUCCAUAGGUUAAUGAGGCGAACCGGGGGAACUGAAACAUCUAAGUACCCCGAGGAAAAGAAAUCAACCGAGAUUCCCCCAGUAGCGGCGAGCGAACGGGGAGGAGCCCAGAGCCUGAAUCAGCAUGUGUGUUAGUGGAAGCGUCUGGAAAGGCGCGCGAUACAGGGUGACAGCCCCGUACACAAAAGCGCAUGUGCUGUGAGCUCGAUGAGUAGGGCGGGACACGUGGUAUCCUGUCUGAAUAUGGGGGGACCAUCCUCCAAGGCUAAAUACUCCUGACUGACCGAUAGUGAACCAGUACCGUGAGGGAAAGGCGAAAAGAACCCCGGCGAGGGGAGUGAAAAAGAACCUGAAACCGUGUACGUACAAGCAGUGGGAGCACCCUUCGGGGUGUGACUGCGUACCUUUUGUAUAAUGGGUCAGCGACUUAUAUUCUGUAGCAAGGUUAACCGUAUAGGGGAGCCGGAGGGAAACCGAGUCUUAAUUGGGCGUUAAGUUGCAGGGUAUAGACCCGAAACCCGGUGAUCUAGCCAUGGGCAGGUUGAAGGUUGGGUAACACUAACUGGAGGACCGAACCGACUAAUGUUGAAAAAUUAGCGGAUGACCUGUGGCUGGGGGUGAAAGGCCAAUCAAACCGGGAGAUAGCUGGUUCUCCCCGAAAGCUAUUUAGGUAGCGCCUCGUGAAUUCAUCUCCGGGGGUAGAGCACUGUUUCGGCUAGGGGGCCAUCCCGGCUUACCAACCCGAUGCAAACUGCGAAUACCGGAGAAUGUUAUCACGGGAGACACACGGCGGGUGCUAACGUCCGUCGUGAAGAGGGAAACAACCCAGACCGCCAGCUAAGGUCCCAAAGUCAUGGUUAAGUGGGAAACGAUGUGGGAAGGCCCAGACAGCCAGGAUGUUGGCUUAGAAGCAGCCAUCAUUUAAAGAAAGCGUAAUAGCUCACUGGUCGAGUCGGCCUGCGCGGAAGAUGUAACGGGGCUAAACCAUGCACCGAAGCUGCGGCAGCGAACGUAUCACCCAAGACAACUUUACGGAGUUGACGAUUGACGGAGCGAAGCGACGUCAAAGCGUUCAUUAAAGUCGAGUUGGCUUAGGGAUACGUUCGUUGGGUAGGGGAGCGUUCUGUAAGCCUGUGAAGGUGUGUCGUGAGGCAUGCUGGAGGUAUCAGAAGUGCGAAUGCUGACAUAAGUAACGAUAAAGCGGGUGAAAAGCCCGCUCGCCGGAAGACCAAGGGUUCCUGUCCAACGUUAAUCGGGGCAGGGUGAGUCGACCCCUAAGGCGAGGCCGAAAGGCGUAGUCGAUGGGAAACGGGUUAAUAUUCCCGUACUUGGUGUUACUGCGAAGGGGGGACGGAGAAGGCUAUGUUGGCCGGGCGACGGUUGUCCCGGUUUAAGCGUGUAGGUGUGUGUUCCAGGUAAAUCCGGUUCACUUUAACACUGAGGCGUGACGACGAGGCACUACGGUGCUGAAGCAACAAAUGCCCUGCUUCCAGGAAAAGCCUCUAAGCAUCAGGUAACAUCAAAUCGUACCCCAAACCGACACAGGUGGUCAGGUAGAGAAUACCAAGGCGCUUGAGAGAACUCGGGUGAAGGAACUAGGCAAAAUGGUGCCGUAACUUCGGGAGAAGGCACGCUGACACGUAGGUGAAGUGAUUUACUCAUGGAGCUGAAGUCAGUCGAAGAUACCAGCUGGCUGCAACUGUUUAUUAAAAACACAGCACUGUGCAAACACGAAAGUGGACGUAUACGGUGUGACGCCUGCCCGGUGCCGGAAGGUUAAUUGAUGGGGUCAGCGCAAGCGAAGCUCCUGAUCGAAGCCCCGGUAAACGGCGGCCGUAACUAUAACGGUCCUAAGGUAGCGAAAUUCCUUGUCGGGUAAGUUCCGACCUGCACGAAUGGCGUAAUGAUGGCCAGGCUGUCUCCACCCGAGACUCAGUGAAAUUGAACUCGCUGUGAAGAUGCAGUGUACCCGCGGCAAGACGGAAAGACCCCGUGAACCUUUACUAUAGCUUGACACUGAACAUUGAGCCUUGAUGUGUAGGAUAGGUGGGAGGCUUUGAAGUGUGGACGCCAGUCUGCAUGGAGCCGACCUUGAAAUACCACCCUUUAAUGUUUGAUGUUCUAACGUGGACCCGUAAUCCGGGUUGCGGACAGUGUCUGGUGGGUAGUUUGACUGGGGCGGUCUCCUCCUAAAGAGUAACGGAGGAGCACGAAGGUUGGCUAAUCCUGGUCGGACAUCAGGAGGUUAGUGCAAUGGCAUAAGCCAGCUUGACUGCGAGCGUGACGGCGCGAGCAGGUGCGAAAGCAGGUCAUAGUGAUCCGGUGGUUCUGAAUGGAAGGGCCAUCGCUCAACGGAUAAAAGGUACUCCGGGGAUAACAGGCUGAUACCGCCCAAGAGUUCAUAUCGACGGCGGUGUUUGGCACCUCGAUGUCGGCUCAUCACAUCCUGGGGCUGAAGUAGGUCCCAAGGGUAUGGCUGUUCGCCAUUUAAAGUGGUACGCGAGCUGGGUUUAGAACGUCGUGAGACAGUUCGGUCCCUAUCUGCCGUGGGCGCUGGAGAACUGAGGGGGGCUGCUCCUAGUACGAGAGGACCGGAGUGGACGCAUCACUGGUGUUCGGGUUGUCAUGCCAAUGGCACUGCCCGGUAGCUAAAUGCGGAAGAGAUAAGUGCUGAAAGCAUCUAAGCACGAAACUUGCCCCGA
RNAcentral lists this ribosomal RNA (2727 nucleotides) under Salmonella enterica subsp. enterica serovar Typhimurium. RNAcentral describes it as "partial 23S ribosomal RNA". It matches the Rfam family "Bacterial large subunit ribosomal RNA". The record is from RNAcentral. Lineage: Bacteria; Pseudomonadati; Pseudomonadota; Gammaproteobacteria; Enterobacterales; Enterobacteriaceae.